GACGAACGCUGGCGGCGUGCUUAACACAUGCAAGUCGAACGGAAAGGCCCUGCUUUUGUGGGGUGCUCGAGUGGCGAACGGGUGAGUAACACGUGAGUAACCUCCCCUUGACUUUGGGAUAACUUCAGGAAAAUGGGGCUAAUACCGGAUAGGAGCUCCUGCUGCAUGGUGGGGGUUGGAAAGUUUCGGCGGUGGGGGAUGGACUCGCGGCUUAUGAGCUUGUUGGUGGGGUAGGGGCUUACCAAGGCUUUGACGGGUAGCCGGCCUGAGAGGGUAGCCGGCCACAUUGGGACUGAGAUACGGCCCAGACUCCUACGGGAGGCAGCAGUGGGGAAUAUUGCACAAUGGGCGGAAGCCUGAUGCAGCAACGCCGCGUGCGGGAUGACGGCCUUCGGGUUGUAAACCGCUUUCGCCUGUGACGAAGCGUGAGUGACGGUAAUGGGUAAAGAAGCACCGGCUAACUACGUG
RNAcentral lists this ribosomal RNA (468 nucleotides) under uncultured bacterium. RNAcentral describes it as "partial 16S ribosomal RNA". It matches the Rfam family "Bacterial small subunit ribosomal RNA", at positions 28 to 507 of the family's 1533-position model. The record is from RNAcentral.